Molecule: ribosomal RNA, 1521 nt
Filed under: metagenome
Description: bacterial LSU rRNA
Rfam family: Bacterial large subunit ribosomal RNA
Source: RNAcentral
UAGAGAUCAGAAGCGAGAAUGUUGACAUGAGUAGCGACAAACAGGGUGAGAAACCCUGUCGCCGAAAGUCCAAGGGUUCCUGCUUAAAGCUAAUCUGAGCAGGGUAAGCCGGCCCCUAAGGCGAGGCCGAAAGGCGUAGUCGAUGGGAACCAGGUUAAUAUUCCUGGGCCAGUGGGAUGUGACGGAUCGCAGAUGUAGUUUGCCCUUAUCGGAUUGGGUGGGCUGCUGAGCGGUUCCAGGAAAUAGCCCCACAUCAGACCGUACCCUAAACCGACACAGGUGGACUGGUAGAGUAUACCAAGGCGCUUGAGAGAACCACGUUAAAGGAACUCGGCAAAAUGCCUCCGUAAGUUCGCGAGAAGGAGGCCCCAUAUGUACGCAAGUAUGUGUGGGGGGCACAAACUAGGGGGUGGCGACUGUUUACUUAAAACACAGGGCUGUGCGAAGCCGUAAGGCGACGUAUACAGUCUGACGCCUGCCCGGUGCUGGAAGAUUAAGAGGAGGGGUGCAAGCUCUGAAUUGAAGUCCCAGUAAACGGCGGCCGUAACAAUAACGGUCCUAAGGUAGCGAAAUUCCUUGUCGGGUAAGUUCCGACCUGCACGAAUGGCGUAACGAUCUCCCCGCUGUCUCUAACGUGGACUCAGCGAAAUUGAACUGUGUGUCAAGAUGCACACUACCCGCGGUUAGACGGAAAGACCCCAUGAACCUUUACUCCAGCUUUGCACUGGUAUCAGGAUUGUGAUGUGCGGGAUAGGUGGUAGGCAUUGAAGCGGGGACGCCAGUCUUCGUGGAGCCUCCCUUGAGAUACCACCCUUCGCCAUCUUGAUAUCUAACCGCGGCCCGUUAUCCGGGUCCGGGACCCUGCAUGGUGGGGAGUUUGACUGGGGCGGUCGCCUCCCAAACAGUAACGGAGGCGCGCGAUGGUUGGCUCAGACCGGUCGGAAAUCGGUCGUUGAGUGCAAUGGCAGAAGCCAGCCUGACUGCAAGACUGACAAGUCGAGCAGAGACGAAAGUCGGUCAUAGUGAUCCGGUGGUCCCAAGUGGGAGGGCCAUCGCUCAGCGGAUAAAAGGUACUCUGGGGAUAACAGGCUGAUGAUGCCCAAGAGUCCAUAUCGACGGCAUCGUUUGGCACCUCGAUGUCGGCUCAUCUCAUCCUGGGGCUGGAGCAGGUCCCAAGGGUAUGGCUGCUCGCCAUUUAAAGAGGUACGUGAGCUGGGUUUAGAACGUCGUGAGACAGUUCGGUCCCUAUCUGCCGUGGGUGCAGGAGACUUGAGAAGAGUUGACCCUAGUACGAGAGGACCGGGUUGAACGAACCACUGGUGGACCAGUUAUCGUGCCAACGGUAGUGCUGGGUAGCUAUGUUCGGACAGGAUAACCGCUGAAGGCAUCUAAGCGGGAAGCCCCCUUCAAAACAAGGUCUCCCUUGAGGGCCGUGGAAGACGACCACGUCGAUAGGCCAGAGGUGUAAGUGCAGCAAUGCAUUCAGCUGACUGGUACUAAUUGCCCGAUUGGCUUGAUCUG